Molecule: long non-coding RNA, 384 nt
Filed under: Cyanistes caeruleus (blue tit)
Lineage: Eukaryota; Metazoa; Chordata; Aves; Passeriformes; Paridae
Description: lncRNA (ENSCCEG00000016855.1)
Source: RNAcentral
CUAAUGAGCCCUUGUAAUCCUGAAGUUAUGAUGCUGGGAAUGUGGCCUGCCAGAAGCAUUUCUCUCCCUGCACUCCACCACAUGCCUCAGAUUGAGCUGCCAACAUUACAUGGAAAAUGUUGGAGAAGAAGGAAAUUAUCCCUUUCAAUUUCUGCCAUUUCAUUUAUCUUGAUUCCCUGGAUUUUACGGGGGCAAAUUGUAGCGAAGUCAAGAAGGGGAGCAUGCUAUCUGACUUGAGGCAGUGAAACUGAGAUUUAUUGCAUAAGCAGCAGUGUAACCACAGGUGGCUCAAAGGAGGAAUCAGAAGUGUCUUGAAUGCUGUACCUGUUCAGAUUUGCAUCAGUUCUUCACCGUCUGAAUUCUGCUUGGAUAGCAGCUCAGUUG